Molecule: transfer RNA, 75 nt
Filed under: Podarcis lilfordi (Lilford's wall lizard)
Lineage: Eukaryota; Metazoa; Chordata; Lepidosauria; Squamata; Lacertidae
Description: tRNA.Lys
Rfam family: tRNA (bases 9-67)
About the family: Transfer RNA (tRNA) molecules are approximately 80 nucleotides in length.
Source: RNAcentral
GCUGCAGAUAGCUCAGAUGGUAAGAGCACGAGACUCUUAAUCUCAUGGUUGUGGGUUCGAGCCCCACGUUGGGCA